CAGCCGCCACGGUAAUACGGAGGGAACUAGCGUUGUUCGGAAUUACUGGGCGUAAAGCGCGCGUAGGCGGUUACUCAAGUCAGAGGUGAAAGCCCGGGGCUCAACCCCGGAACUGCCUUUGAAACUAGGUGACUAGAAUCUUGGAGAGGUCAGUGGAAUUCCGAGUGUAGAGGUGAAAUUCGUAGAUAUUCGGAAGAACACCAGUGGCGAAGGCGACUGACUGGACAAGUAUUGACGCUGAGGUGCGAAAGCGUGGGGAGCAAACAGGAUUAGAUACCCCCGUAGUCCCUGUCUCUUAUAC
RNAcentral lists this ribosomal RNA (301 nucleotides) under uncultured bacterium. RNAcentral describes it as "partial 16S ribosomal RNA". It matches the Rfam family "Bacterial small subunit ribosomal RNA", at positions 509 to 807 of the family's 1533-position model. The record is from RNAcentral.